ACCUCUAUCUAGGCACUACUUGUAGAGGACAUUGAAGUUUGUAGGUUGGUCCUCUCAACGUUUCUGCUCAGACUUCACUGUGAGGUUACUCUAGCCAUGAAUGAGAAGGAAGCUGUUGAUUUGUUCCUUGAGGGGAAAAAGUUUGACAUUGUUUUGUUCGAUAAGGAUAUGCCCGUCAUGACUGGUCCAGAGGCAAUUGUGAAGAUCCGUGCUAUGGGGGAAACUGAUGUGAAGAUUGUUGGGGUUUCUGCCGAUAAUCAUGCCAUGGAGGCGUUCAUGAGUGCUGGUGCUGAUUUAUUUGUGCCCAAACCAAUAAGGAUGGAGGCCCUCGGUCCUAUCAUUUAG
This 345-nucleotide ribosomal RNA is filed under the name Triticum aestivum (bread wheat). RNAcentral's name for it is "partial small subunit ribosomal RNA". The record is from RNAcentral. Lineage: Eukaryota; Viridiplantae; Streptophyta; Magnoliopsida; Poales; Poaceae.